CUACGGGAUGCUGCAGUGAGGAAUAUUGCGCAAUGGGGGAAACCCUGACGCAGCGACGCCGCGUGGAUGAUGAAGGCCUUAGGGUCGUAAAAUCCUGUCAGGUGGGAAGAAGUGGAUAUAGAUUAAUACUCUAUUUCUUUGACGGUACCACCAAAGGAAGCACCGGCUAACUCCGUGCCAGCAGCCGCGGUAAUACGGAGGGUGGCAAACGUUGUUCGGAAUUACUGGGCGUAAAGCGCGCGUAGGCGGUUUGUUAAGUCAGAUGUGAAAGUCCAUGGCUCAAGUAUGGAAGUGCAUUUGAAACUGGCAGACUUGAGUACUGGAGGGGGUGAUGGAAUUCCCGGUGUAGAGGUGAAAUUCGUAGAUAUCGGGAGGAAUACCGGUGGCGAAGGCGAUCACCUGGCCAGAUACUGACGCUGAGGUGCGAAAGCGUGGGGAGCAAACAGGAUUAGAUACCCCUGUAGUC
RNAcentral lists this ribosomal RNA (466 nucleotides) under uncultured bacterium. Its description in RNAcentral is "partial 16S ribosomal RNA". It matches the Rfam family "Bacterial small subunit ribosomal RNA", at positions 339 to 795 of the family's 1533-position model. The record is from RNAcentral.